This 252-nucleotide ribosomal RNA is filed under the name uncultured bacterium. RNAcentral describes it as "partial 16S ribosomal RNA". It matches the Rfam family "Bacterial small subunit ribosomal RNA", at positions 524 to 776 of the family's 1533-position model. The record is from RNAcentral.
UACGUAGGGUGCGAGCGUUAAUCGGAAUUACUGGGCGUAAGCGUGCGCAGGCGGCUUUGCAAGACAGAUGUGAAAUCCCCGGGCUCAACCUGGGAACUGCAUUUGUGACUGCAAGGCUAGAGUACGGCAGAGGGGGAUGGAAUUCCGCGUGUAGCAGUGAGAUGCGUAGAUAUGCGGAGGAACACCGAUGGCGAAGGCAAUCCCCUGGGCCUGUACUGACGCUCAUGCACGAAAGCGUGGGGAGCAAACAGG